This is a long non-coding RNA of Xenia sp. Carnegie-2017, 215 nucleotides long. RefSeq lists it as uncharacterized. Lineage: Eukaryota; Metazoa; Cnidaria; Anthozoa; Malacalcyonacea; Xeniidae. The record is from RefSeq and is a predicted model, not a curated record. The transcript has 3 exons.
UCCGUUACAUAGUGAGAUGUAAUGAAGCCUGUGUUUGGUAAAGAAUUUCAAGUCCCACCUAUUCCUAAACGUACAGACAAAAAGGAUCGGACGUAGGCUGAAAUUGUUCAUAUAUACAAUCUGGAAGCCAAACUGUGUGGAGCUAACUGAAGCCACAAAUAAUGGAUACGAAAAUGGAUGCUAUUUUCAGAGCCAUACCACUGAAUUGUUUUCCU